GCCAGCAGCCAUGUCACCCUGCAACUUACAAUUGGCAGCCCACUGAAGCUAAUCAGGUGUGAGCCUGGUCAGUACCUGAAUGGGAGACCUCCUGGGAAAAACUAAGGUUGCUGCUGGAA
RNAcentral lists this ribosomal RNA (119 nucleotides) under Lepisosteus oculatus (spotted gar). The record is from RNAcentral. Lineage: Eukaryota; Metazoa; Chordata; Actinopteri; Semionotiformes; Lepisosteidae.